GUAGGGUGCGAGCGUUAAUCGGAAUUACUGGGCGUAAAGCGUGCGCAGGCGGUGAGCUGUGUCCGAUGUGAAAGCCCCGGGCUUAACCUGGGAAUGGCAUUGGAAACUGGCUCGCUGGAGUGUGGCAGAGGGGGGUGGAAUUCCGCGUGUAGCAGUGAAAUGCGUAGAGACGCGGAGGAACACCGAUGGCGAAGGCAGCCCCCUGGGCUAACACUGACGCUCAGGCACGAAAGCGUGGGGAGCAAACAGGAUUAGAUACCCUGGUAGUCCACGCCCUAAACCAUGUCAACUGGGUGUUCGGGAAGCGAUUCCUGAGUACCGUAGCUAACGCGUGAAGUUGACCGCCUGGGGAGUACGGCCGCAAGGUUA
Molecule: ribosomal RNA, 369 nt
Filed under: uncultured bacterium
Lineage: Bacteria
Description: bacterial SSU rRNA
Rfam family: Bacterial small subunit ribosomal RNA
Source: RNAcentral